CCGGCGCACGGGUGAGUAACACGUAUCCAACCUGCCGUCUACUCUUGGACAGCCUUCUGAAAGGAAGGUUAAUACAAGAUGGCAUCAUGAGUCCGCAUGUUCACAUGAUUAAAGGUAUUCCGGUAGACGAUGGGGAUGCGUUCCAUUAGAUAGUAGACGGGGUAACGGCCCACCUAGUCUUCGAUGGAUAGGGGUUCUGAGAGGAAGGUCCCCCACAUUGGAACUGAGACACGGUCCAA
This 239-nucleotide ribosomal RNA is filed under the name uncultured bacterium. RNAcentral's name for it is "partial 16S ribosomal RNA". It matches the Rfam family "Bacterial small subunit ribosomal RNA", at positions 95 to 334 of the family's 1533-position model. The record is from RNAcentral.